Molecule: transfer RNA, 83 nt
Filed under: Cordyceps militaris
Lineage: Eukaryota; Fungi; Ascomycota; Sordariomycetes; Hypocreales; Cordycipitaceae
Description: tRNA-Leu
Source: RNAcentral
GUCUAAAUGCUGGAAUCGGUAGACAGAAGUUGCUUAAGCCAACUUGGGUGUAACCCGUGGGUGUUCAAGUCACUCUUUAGAUA